AUUGGAUAAUCUCGGCGGGAAAGCUUGGUCGAUGCUCGGCCUUCCGGAGCUCACGAAGGAGAUGUCGGUGUCGGACAACGAGAGAUCUGCGAUGGUGGAAGCGCGCAUUCCCCUGGCAUACGGCGACCUGUUUGACAGCGACACACGGUGAACACCCACAAAUCCAAUUCCUUCGAACUCUUUUUACCUUCUUCUUCUCCUUCUACGUCACAACAGUAAGCUUACUUGACGGAAUCGUCAUGCUUCAUGCUGUGUGUCUCCAGUGCCACCUCGCCUGGCCCUGCAAGUGUCGGCCAUUCUCUUCAGCCAGGCGCCUAGUAAAAGCAGGAAUGAUAAGUGGAAAAGGGGGCGGGGGGCGGGGAAGAGGAGACAAGACGCACCAUUGGGACC
This 390-nucleotide long non-coding RNA is filed under the name Musa acuminata (dwarf banana). RNAcentral's name for it is "long non-coding RNA (MACU_LNC002396)". Lineage: Eukaryota; Viridiplantae; Streptophyta; Magnoliopsida; Zingiberales; Musaceae. The record is from RNAcentral.